UAGAUUCGAAAAACUAAAGUUUACUACCCUCAGUAAACUUUUAUUAGGGGUAGUAAACUUGCAAAAAAAUAUUUUCAAUGCCAUAAUACACACUAAAAUAGAGGAAAAACAACCUAGAUACGAAAAAAUAAAGUUUAUUACCCCCAGUAAACUUAUACUGGGGGUAGUAAGCUUGCAAAACAAUAUCUCCAAGGCCAUAAGCACACAUUAAAACGGAGAAAAAUCAACUUAAAUGCAAAAAUAAAAUUUACUACCCUAGUAACUUUUACUGGGGGUAGUGAACUUACGAAAAAAUAAAGUUUAUUACUCCCAGUAAACUUAUACUGGGGGUAGUAAGCUUGCAAAACAAUAUCUCCAAGGCCAUAAGUACACAUUAAAAUGGAGAAAAAUCAACUUAGAUGCAAAACUAAAAUUUACUACCCCUAGUAAACUUUUACUGGGGGUAGUAAACGUCGCUUCACUCAAAACCUUCACAGAUCCGGCAUCUCUGCAGCAAUCCGCCGUCGAGGAGAUUGGCAGUCACUUCACUCCAAACCUUCACAGAUUCGGCCACACCUUCACAGAUUCGGCCACACCUUCUCCAAUCUCUGCAGCAAUACACCGCCGACGACAACAUCUCCAUCCUCACCAAGUCUACCGUCGAGGAGAUCGUUGUCUCCCUGCCUCCUUCAUCCGCCGCCGCUCUUUUUCUGGUCAAUGUCGGCCUUGUCUUCGUGAUCGGAUUCGGAUCCCAUGCCGACCGAUAACGACGAGGCUGCUAGACCUUACAGAGGAUGUGGUGGAGCGACUCAUCAGAGGUUGCUCGAUCUCGACCGUCGUCGUCGGCGAUGCCUGAUGAGAGAGAGAGAGAGAGAGAGAGAGAGAGAGAGAGAGAGAGAGAGAGAGAGAGAGAGAGAGAGAGAGAGAGAGAGAGAGAGAGAGAGAGAGNNNNNNNNNNNNNNNNNNNNGAGAGAGAGAGAGAGAGAGAGUUUUGAUCGGGAUAAAGAGAGGAGAAAGUGAGAAACAGAGAAAGAGAGUUAAAUGAGGUCAAGGGUAAUGACGUCUUUUUAUUAGAAUUCAUUGGAAUGGGGUUGGUAAAGAGAUUUUCAUUGAAAUUGGCUAAAAUGAAGUUAAAUUAGUAGUAAAUGGUCAUUUACUCCACAUGAUAAAACAAAAUACAAAUGGUACGUUUACUUAUUUGGAAUAAAAUUCAUCAAGAAUAAAAGACGGAAGGAAUGAGAGACGAAAUGGAACAGUAUGUGAAGAUUUCGAUUCCAUUGAGUUGUUUACUUACCACAUGGAAUUAGAACAUGAAUGUAAUUAAUUACUAUUUUAAUUACUAAAAUACCCAUGAAAAAAAUAAGCUACAUAUUUCGAUCACUUUCAACACAAUUUGUUCCUUAAUUAUAUGUUGAUCUAAUUUUGUUUGUCGUUUUGAUUGUCUCAGUUGAUAAGUUAUGUAUAAUCGACAAACCAAAGGGACUAUUUAUAUUCAGUGUAUUAAUUGUAAAUUUGUAAUCAUGUGGUUACAUAUUAAUAAUAUAAUACAGAGGCUACACGUGCGCUUGUGUAUAUUCAAUCUCGUCCUUGUAUAAACUCUCUUCUACCAUGAUUUAUCAAAAUCAUUUGGACCUAGUACCAGCAUUUUGGGUGUAUCUCAAACUGCAAGUUGGAAGGACUGAACAACAAAAUUAAGGCAUCAUACGUUUAUACAUUUUAGUAAUAUUAUAUUUAAAUCAAGUAAGCAAUUUUAUAAAUACAAAAAAAAAAAAAAAAAAUCUAAACAACUUCCACAAAUAAUAUAUUAUUAACAUAUAAAAAGAGAGCCUUUAAGAAAAAAAUUUGAAAUUAUUAGCAUCUUAAACAAAUUCCACAAUAUUAUUAGCAUAAUAAAAUUAACAAGGGUAUUUUCAGAAUAAAAGUUCAUUCCUGAUGGUAUCAUUCCUACUCUCAUCUCCUCCUUUGGUAUUACAAUUCAGGGUUGUCAAGAAAUCGAUUCCUUAUUAAGAGGUGGGACCCACACAUAUUCCAAUUCCAUUAUAUGUAAGUAAACGCUUGAAUUCUCCUCUGCC
RNAcentral lists this long non-coding RNA (2051 nucleotides) under Fragaria vesca (wild strawberry). RNAcentral describes it as "long non-coding RNA (FVES_LNC000282)". The record is from RNAcentral. Lineage: Eukaryota; Viridiplantae; Streptophyta; Magnoliopsida; Rosales; Rosaceae.